Molecule: ribosomal RNA, 557 nt
Filed under: Bifidobacterium adolescentis
Lineage: Bacteria; Bacillati; Actinomycetota; Actinomycetes; Bifidobacteriales; Bifidobacteriaceae
Description: partial 16S ribosomal RNA
Rfam family: Bacterial small subunit ribosomal RNA
Source: RNAcentral
UCUCCUGGAAAACGGGUGGUAAUGCCGGAUGCUCCAGUUGACCGCAUGGUCCUCUGGGAAAGCUUUUGCGGUAUGGGAUGGGGUCGCGUCCUAUCAGCUUGAUGGCGGGGUAACGGCCCACCAUGGCUUCGACGGGUAGCCGGCCUGAGAGGGCGACCGGCCACAUUGGGACUGAGAUACGGCCCAGACUCCUACGGGAGGCAGCAGUGGGGAAUAUUGCACAAUGGGCGCAAGCCUGAUGCAGCGACGCCGCGUGCGGGAUGACGGCCUUCGGGUUGUAAACCGCUUUUGACUGGGAGCAAGCCCUUCGGGGUGAGUGUACCUUUCGAAUAAGCACCGGCUAACUACGUGCCAGCAGCCGCGGUAAUACGUAGGGUGCAAGCGUUAUCCGGAAUUAUUGGGCGUAAAGGGCUCGUAGGCGGUUCGUCGCGUCCGGUGUGAAAGUCCAUCGCUUAACGGUGGAUCCGCGCCGGGUACGGGCGGGCUUGAGUGCGGUAGGGGAGACUGGAAUUCCCGGUGUAACGGUGGAAUGUGUAGAUAUCGGGAAGAACACCACC